AGAGACAGCAGUCGCCACGGGAAUACGUAGGUGGCAAGCGUUGUCCGGAAUUAUUGGGCGUAAAGGGCUCGCAGGCGGUUUCUUAAGUCUGAUGUGAAAGCCCCCGGCUCAACCGGGGAGUGUCAUUGGAAACUGGGAAACUUGAGUGCAGAAGAGGAGAGUGGAAUUCCACGUGUAGCGGUGAAAUGCGUAGAGAUGUGGAGGAACACCAGUGGCGAAGGCGACUCUCUGGUCUGUAACUGACGCUGAGGAGCGAAAGCGUGGGGAGCGAACAGGAUUAGAUACCCCUGUAGUCCCUGUCUCUUAUAA
Molecule: ribosomal RNA, 309 nt
Filed under: uncultured bacterium
Lineage: Bacteria
Description: partial 16S ribosomal RNA
Rfam family: Bacterial small subunit ribosomal RNA
Source: RNAcentral